Molecule: ribosomal RNA, 321 nt
Filed under: uncultured eukaryote
Lineage: Eukaryota
Description: partial 18S ribosomal RNA
Rfam family: Eukaryotic small subunit ribosomal RNA
Source: RNAcentral
CCCUUAGAUGUUCUGGGCCGCACGCGCGCUACACUGAUGCAUUCAACGAGUGUUUCCUUGGCCGAGAGGCCUGGGCAAUCUUUUGAACGUGCAUCGUGAUAGGGAUAGAUUAUUGCAAUUAUUAAUCUUGAACGAGGAAUUCCUAGUAGACGCAGUUCAUCAAACUGCAUCGAUUACGUCCCUGCCCUUUGUACACACCGCCCGUCGCACCUACCGAUUGAAUGGUCCGGUGAAGCCUCGGGAUUGUGACUAGUGCCUUUUGGUGUUGGUUGCGAGAACUUGUCUAAACCUUAUCAUUUAGAGGAAGGUGAAGUCGUAACA